Molecule: long non-coding RNA, 522 nt
Organism: Hemicordylus capensis (graceful crag lizard)
Lineage: Eukaryota; Metazoa; Chordata; Lepidosauria; Squamata; Cordylidae
Exons: 5
Source: RefSeq, a predicted model, not a curated record
GGUUGGCUUGAGCGCUGCUUGCAUUACAGGCUGUGCUGAGGCUGACUACUACUACAGAGGAAGGAAGGCAGGCAAAAGAUAGGAAACACCAUAAACAAAAUCAUCCUGCUGGUUGCACAGUUCAUGGCUGUAGAUGCAGCGGUUAUUUCCACAGCGGAAGCGGAACGGUGGCUCACAGUGGUGACUGAAGGAAGAGGCGAUGUCAAGAGGGUGAAAAGAAGGAAAUGAGGGGAAGACACUAGAAGAUAAGGUGUAAAUAAACAAAACAAGAUCAUACUAGAAAAUCAUUAUCACCAUCACAGAUCCAUGUUGCUGGGAUACAUCUGCCAUCGUCACAUCUGAACUGGUCACUUGAACAGCUCCUCACCGGGGGAACUUAAAGAAGAACAGGACUGAUCGUUUACCAACCAUUCAGUAUGCCAGGUAGUACUUUAAAGAGGCAGGCUCAUCUGAGCCAUCAGCACAGUCUAUUGCUUGAUCACAGUACCAGUGAGCAGGAAUGCAACGUCCAGAUGAGCAACG